AUGUACCCAUGGAGGGCCUAUCUAACGCAGCAGGAAAAAUCAUCUUCAAAGACAAAGACGGAGCCACUCUAGCUGACCUAUUUAUGAUCUAUAAUGGUCCAUCAUCGCCCACUGUCUACCAGAUACAGUAUUGCAUGUCAUUCGCCGGGCCAACUGAACCAUAUGGGGACACACCGUUGCCAAAGAACAGGAUUGUAAUCAGCAAGGUAACAGGAGGUCUGACUGUUGAGUUUAACGAAGUGAUCAUCAUAGAGAUGACCUCCGCCCCCGCGGGAGCCCCAGAUGUAACCAAAUGCAACGCUUUUCUGGGAGGAGAUGUGCGGAUCAUAGAGUUUCCAAAUGAUGACACAGCCAGUGAAUCCUUCAGACAACACGCAGAUUGGCGAGCUGUGGAACAUGAGAAAGAAUACCUCUUUUCCUGGGCAGCAGCUCCAUUAGAGAUCCGAACAUCCCAGCCAAACGGCCAAACAUGGAUCAAGUUCAUGGACAAAGAUAAGAACAGCCUCGGGAAUAUCCAUUUUAGAUACUAUGCCGAUAUUGCUGAACCAGUAUAUUUCAAGCAAAUAUUUCCCUGUGAUUUGGAAUCUCAAUUUAAGGAAAGUGGAAAGGCCUUGAUUCCAACAUCUCAGCAUAAACGCUGGUCCUUUGAGAGGUUUCCAAGCAACCAAGGGAUGGGCCUAAAUGUGAAGUGCAACGACAUUUUGAUCUCCACUUAUCGUGUGCCCGAUGAUUUCCCGAUGAUGAAUGCAGUUCUAUGUCCUGCCUUCUUCAAUAGUGAUGUCCAUUUCAUAGCAUUCAUCGAGGAUAAAGGAUUGCCGGACGGGGAAGAGGAAUACUUUAAAGACAACGGAAAGUGUAACACAGGCGAAUACGUGGACUCUAUGAACGGGGGCUGUACACCCUGCCGGGUAAGGACCUACAGUCUAGGAGGGGUAGAUGCAUCAUGUGCCAGCUGUCCAGCCGGGAAAACAGUGCUGGAGGGAGAAGGAGGCUCAGAGAAAGACUGCACUUGGAAGCCGUGUAGUGGAGGGUACUACCUUGAUGGUACCACUGGAUGUCAGCUCUGUAGUAAAGGUAGCUACAGUGCAGGAGGCAGAGUGGCAGAGUGCACGGCUUGUCCCACCAACUACACAACAAAUGGUAUAGCGGUCAAGGUGGAGGAUUGUCUACUUGAUCCAGGUAAGGUGGUUGGAAUUCGUGAGUAUGGUAAAGGAGGAAAUUCCAGUGAAAGGUGGUUGAAAUGUGCUGAUUUCACCAUCUUGGUGGCUUUAUACCAGGUACUAGUUUCUAGAUCUCGGGAAGGGGGUUUGGAACAAAUAAUAAAGGUUUGACGAGGAACAUAAUCUGUAUGUAUAUUGUAUAUACUAUACAGACUAUUUUCUUUCACUUCAUUGACUUCAAGUCUUUGAUGGUGUCACAAUUUACAAACCAAACAGUCUAAAUUAGUAGACGGUGUUUGCCGAGCAGCCUUAACUAAAGAUAUCAAAUUUGUUGAAAACUGAGGAUCCCAUGAGAGGAGUUAGUGAGGAAGAGGUCCUGUCGACGGAUGAACGGCUUCAGAGAAAUCAGUACUGCUGUCGAGAAAGUUAAGAACCUUUACUAAAUAUUAAAUCUUAACAAUUAAAGUUAUAUGAUAUAAUUUGUAUUUCAAUUUCAAGGUUUGCUUACAUCUAUGCACAGUAUGAAUUUUUACUGAUUAUAGUUACUUAUCACAACUAUAUCUAUCUGCAGGGGUCAGCACUCAGCACCUAAACAUCCUCUGUUCUCAUCUAAACACUACUACUAGUACAUCUACAAAUAAUAUCCAAAACCUUCAUCACAGACUUCCAGGCUGAAAGACAGUCAUGAAAGGAAAGGAUCGCACUAAUAUAAACAAAAGAGUUAUUCUAUGAUCGUGCGGACCGGAGAGAGAAGUAAUACAGAGUUCCUCGGAGCAGAACACUCGAAUGAUUCCGGUGCACUCUCCAAGUACGAAAACGGACUGAAGAUAAAGCAAACUGAAGCACUAGCUGUUGAAACUGAAGAACUAGCCGUUGAAACUGAAGCACUACCCGUUGAAACUGAAGCACUAGCCGUUGAAACUGAAGAACUAGCCGUUGAAACUGAAGAACUAGCCGUUGAAACUGAAGAACUAGCCGUUGAAACUGAAGCACUACCCGUUGAAACUGAAGCACUAGCCGUUGAAACUGAAGAACUAGCCGUUGAAACUGAAGAACUAGCCGUUGAAACUGAAGCACUACCCGUUGAAACUGAAGCACUAGCCGUUGAAACUGAAGAACUAGCCGUUGAAACUGAAGAACUAGCCGUUGAAACUGAAGCACUAGCCGUUGAAACUGAAGCACUAGCCGUUGAAACUGAAGCACUAGCCGUUGAAACUGAAGAACUAGCCGUUGAAACUGAAGCACUAGCCGUUGAAACUGAAGCACUAGCCGUUGAAACUGAAGCACUAGCCGUUGAAACUGAAGAACUAGCCGUUGAAACUGAAGAACUAGCCGUUGAAACUGAAGCACUAGCCGUUGAAACUGAAGAACUAGCCGUUGAAACUGAAGAACUAGCCGUUGAAACUGAAGAACUAGCCGUUGAAACUGAAGCACUAGCCGUUGAAACUGAAGCACCAGCCGUUGAAACUGAAGAUACUCAUUUUGAGACAAAAGUAAAAUUUUUGAGACUGAGACUGAGUGGAUAUUGGACUGAUUUGAGAAGGACGGAAAGUCCUCCAGAAACUUAAGGACCAAGGUGAAAUAAAGUAAAUUACGAAACAGUUGGCUUAAAUUAUUUAGCAUAAUCUGUUUAUAUGAUGUUUGAUGCCUGCAACAAAAGCCAUGCAUCAUGAUUUCAAAAAACGUUUAGAUCAGUGGUUUACUUUUUUAAUUUCUUGAUUUGCUAAAUGUCAAUUUUCGACGUGGAUUAAAUAUAUUCAAUUGAUCAGCAGUUAUGUGAACAGCAGUUAAUGAUUACGAUUGAUAAUUUUUUUUUGGUUAGUUUAUAGUUGGGUACUUUGUAGCGUUUUUUUAAAGCUCAGCUCUACGAA
This is an RNA transcript of Bolinopsis microptera, 3031 nucleotides long. It is a transcript of the gene named glutamate--tRNA ligase-like, with no coding region annotated. NCBI's taxonomy places the organism in Eukaryota, Metazoa, Ctenophora, Tentaculata, Lobata, Bolinopsidae. The record is from RefSeq and is a predicted model, not a curated record. The transcript has 6 exons.